This 241-nucleotide ribosomal RNA is filed under the name uncultured Staphylococcus sp. RNAcentral's name for it is "partial 16S ribosomal RNA". It matches the Rfam family "Bacterial small subunit ribosomal RNA", at positions 99 to 334 of the family's 1533-position model. Lineage: Bacteria; Bacillati; Bacillota; Bacilli; Caryophanales; Staphylococcaceae. The record is from RNAcentral.
CGGACGGGUGAGUAACACGUGGAUAACCUACCUAUAAGACUGGGAUAACUUCGGGAAACCGGAGCUAAUACCGGAUAAUAUAUUGAACCGCAUGGUUCAAUAGUGAAAGACGGUUUUGCUGUCACUUAUAGAUGGAUCCGCGCCGCAUUAGCUAGUCGGUAAGGUAACGGCUUACCAAGGCAACGAUGCGUAGCCGACCUGAGAGGGUGAUCGGCCACACUGGAACUGAGACACGGUCCAG